RNAcentral lists this transfer RNA (70 nucleotides) under Diaphorina citri (Asian citrus psyllid). It matches the Rfam family "tRNA". From Rfam's summary of the family: Transfer RNA (tRNA) molecules are approximately 80 nucleotides in length. Their secondary structure includes four short double-helical elements and three loops (D, anti-codon, and T loops). Further hydrogen bonds mediate the characteristic L-shaped molecular structure. tRNAs have two regions of fundamental functional importance: the anti-codon, which is responsible for specific mRNA codon recognition, and the 3' end, to which the tRNAs corresponding amino acid is attached (by aminoacyl-tRNA synthetases). tRNAs cope with the degeneracy of the genetic code in two manners: having more than one tRNA (with a specific anti-codon) for a particular amino acid; and 'wobble' base-pairing, i.e. permitting non-standard base-pairing at the 3rd anti-codon position. The record is from Rfam by way of RNAcentral. Lineage: Eukaryota; Metazoa; Arthropoda; Insecta; Hemiptera; Psyllidae.
GCUCCCAUGGCGUAGUGGUCACUGCACUCGCCUUGCACGCGGGAGACCCGGGUUCGAUUCCCGGCGGGCA